AUUGAACGCUGGCGGCAUGCCUUACACAUGCAAGUCGAACGGCAGCACGGAGGGGUAACUCUUUGGUGGCGAGUGGCGAACGGGUGAGUAACAUAUCGGAACGUACCCAGGAGUGGGGGAUAACUAUCCGAAAGGAUGGCUAAUACCGCAUAAGCUCUGAGGAGGAAAGUGGGGGAUCUGCAAGGACCUCAUGCUGCUGGAGCGGCCGAUAUCUGAUUAGCUAGUUGGUGAGGUAAAGGCUCACCAAGGCGAUGAUCAGUAGCUGGUCUGAGAGGACGACCAGCCACACUGGAACUGAGACACGGUCCAGACUCCUACGGGAGGCAGCAGUGGGGAAUUUUGGACAAUGGGGGCAACCCUGAUCCAGCAAUGCCGCGUGAGUGAUGAAGGCCUUCGGGUUGUAAAGCUCUUUUGUCAGGGAAGAAACAGCAGCUCUAACACAGCUGUGAAUGACGGUACCUGAAGAAUAAGCACCGGCUAACUACGUGCCAGCAGCCGCGGUAAUACGUAGGGUGCAAGCGUUAAUCGGAAUUACUGGGCGUAAAGCGUGCGCAGGCGGUUAUACAAGACAGGCGUGAAAUCCCCGGGCUUAACCUGGGAAUUGCGUCUGUGACUGUAUGGCUAGAGUGUGUCAGAGGGGGGUAGAAUUCCACGUGUAGCAGUGAAAUGCGUAGAUAUGUGGAGGAAUACCAAUGGCGAAGGCAGCCCCCUGGGAUAACACUGACGCUCAUGCACGAAAGCGUGGGGAGCAAACAGGAUUAGAUACCCUGGUAGUCCACGCCCUAAACGAUGCUGACUAGUUGUUCGGGAUUUUAUCCUGAGUAACGUAGCUAACGCGUGAAGUCAGCCGCCUGGGGAGUACGGUCGCAAGAUUA
Molecule: ribosomal RNA, 875 nt
Filed under: uncultured bacterium
Lineage: Bacteria
Description: bacterial SSU rRNA
Rfam family: Bacterial small subunit ribosomal RNA
Source: RNAcentral